This 526-nucleotide ribosomal RNA is filed under the name uncultured bacterium. Its description in RNAcentral is "bacterial SSU rRNA". It matches the Rfam family "Bacterial small subunit ribosomal RNA", at positions 338 to 879 of the family's 1533-position model. The record is from RNAcentral.
CCUACGGGUAGCAGCAGUGGGGAAUUUUCCGCAAUGGGCGCAAGCCUGACGGAGCAAGACCGCGUGCGGGAGGACGGCCUAUUGGUUGUAAACCGCUUUUGAUAGGGAAGAAGCUCUGACGGUACCUAUCGAAUCAGCAUCGGCUAACUCCGUGCCAGCAGCCGCGGUAAUACGGAGGAUGCAAGCGUUAUCCGGAAUUAUUGGGCGUAAAGCGUCCGUAGGUGGUUGUUCAAGUCUGCUGUUAAAGCGUGCGGCUUAACCGCAUACCAGCAGUGGAAACUGGGCGACUAGAGUGCGGUAGGGGUCAGGGGAAUUCCCAGUGUAGCGGUGAAAUGCGUAGAUAUUGGGAAGAACACCGGUGGCGAAAGCGCCUGACUGGACCUGCACUGACACUGAGGGACGAAAGCUAGGGGAGCGAAAGGGAUUAGAUACCCCUGUAGUCCUAGCCGUAAACGAUGGACACUAGGUGUUGCCCGUAUCGACCCGGGCAGUGCCGUAGCCAACGCGUUAAGUUCCCGCCUGGAGA